Molecule: ribosomal RNA, 277 nt
Filed under: uncultured prokaryote
Description: partial 16S ribosomal RNA
Rfam family: Bacterial small subunit ribosomal RNA
Source: RNAcentral
UACGUAGGGGGCUAGCGUUAUCCGGAAUUACUGGGCGUAAAGGGUGCGUAGGCGGUCUUUCAAGCCAGAAGUGAAAGGCUACGGCUCAACCGUAGUAAGCUUUUGGAACUGUAAGACUUGAGUGCAGGAGAGGAGAGUGGAAUUCCUAGUGUAGCGGUGAAAUGCGUAGAUAUUAGGAGGAACACCAGUAGCGAAGGCGGCUCUCUGGGCUGUAACUGACGCUGAGGCACGAAAGCGUGGGGAGCAAACAGGAUUAGAUACCCCGGUAGUCCCUGAG